RNAcentral lists this transfer RNA (83 nucleotides) under Chloroflexota bacterium. RNAcentral's name for it is "tRNA-Leu". It matches the Rfam family "tRNA". From Rfam's summary of the family: Transfer RNA (tRNA) molecules are approximately 80 nucleotides in length. Their secondary structure includes four short double-helical elements and three loops (D, anti-codon, and T loops). The record is from RNAcentral. Lineage: Bacteria; Bacillati; Chloroflexota. RNAcentral also lists the same sequence under 2 other names.
GCCCCGGUGGCGGAAUAGGCAUACGCGGCAGGUUGAGGGCCUGUGCCCGCAAGGGCGUGGAGGUUCGACUCCUCUCCGGGGCA